This 306-nucleotide ribosomal RNA is filed under the name uncultured bacterium. RNAcentral's name for it is "partial 16S ribosomal RNA". It matches the Rfam family "Bacterial small subunit ribosomal RNA", at positions 507 to 808 of the family's 1533-position model. The record is from RNAcentral.
GACAGCAGUCGCCGCGGGAAUACGUAGGUCCCGAGCGUUGUCCGAAUUUAUUUGGCGUAAAGCGAGCGCAGGCGGUUAGAUAAGUCUGAAGUUAAAGGCUGUGGCUUAACCAUAGUACGCUUUGGAAACUGUUUAACUUGAGUGCAAGAGGGGAGAGUGGAAUUCCAUGUGUAGCGGUGAAAUGCGUAGAUAUAUGGAGGAACACCGGUGGCGAAAGCGGCUCUCUGGCUUGUAACUGACGCUGAGGCUCGAAAGCGUGGGGAGCAAACAGGAUUAGAUACCCCUGUAGUCCCUGUCUCUUAUACA